RNAcentral lists this long non-coding RNA (1326 nucleotides) under Struthio camelus australis. RNAcentral describes it as "lncRNA (ENSSCUG00000013360.1)". Lineage: Eukaryota; Metazoa; Chordata; Aves; Struthioniformes; Struthionidae. The record is from RNAcentral.
CCCGCUUCCCCGCCGGGGCUCCCCUCCGCAUGCCCCCCCGUGUGCAGCCCCGGCGCUUGCCUCCCAGCUCAACAAGAACAAAAAAAAAACAUGGAGUAAAACUAGAUCCUCCCAUCACAGUCAAGCCACGGAAUGCUGUGUGAGCCGUUGUGGACCCUUGAGGAGCAGCAAGUCCUGCGGGGCAGGGGCUUCUGUGCUCUCAUCAGUUACGCUGAAAAACGGGCCCUGUGGAUGGGUGAGCCACCCUCAAGGAAAAGUUUGAGAUGUCUGGACAGGGAACGGUUCACAAAACUGCUAUACAGCCUCUGCCUGGCUGCGCAGUCCGUGUCCUGCAAAGCCUCAGGGACAUGAAUGGAAAGGAGAAUAUACCUGGGAAAAUGAGAAGACUAACCAUAAAACAGGGGCAAGACCAAGAGCAUCUCUGUGUUCAGGUGAGUAAUGUGAUGAAUGUUUUUCAUCCCGCCACAUUUGUGAGACUAACGACUGUACACUUUGUUAAUGAACUGUACUAGGCAGUCAAGAGUAAAUUAUUUUCCAAAUGCCAGGUGGGUAUUCUAGCUGUGUUUCACACACACUGACUAGCGUAUUAGUAUUCUACAUAAGUUUGCUUUUAUUAGCUGAUUAAACAGACCUUCUGAAGGCUUAGCAUUGAAAGCAAUUAUAUUUACUCAGGCUGAAAAUGUAGUUACAUUGCUAUGUUAUUAAGAGUGCAAUAGCAGAAGUGCAUAUAAAUAUUCAACAUCUUCUGUAGUCUCCCAGUGUGUAAAUUGUGUCAUUAUUAUGUAUCACUACAUUAACAUUUAUACUGAAACUAUGCUGAACUUGCACUAAAACCAUGUGGUGAAGAUAUUUAACAUCUUGUCAAAAACAUAAAAAUGUUUUCUGGAAGGAAUCUGGAGUCUGGUCCAAUUUUUCUGUUCUUUGCAAAAUUAAAAACAAAAAGAUCACUGUAAUAGGAAAACAGCGGAAUUCCCCUUUUUUGUGUGCUGAAGAGAGGAGUAUAAACUAGAAAAAUGAAAAAAGGUUAAAAGAUGAUGUGUGGCAAUUACUGACCCAGUGUCCAGAACCACUGGUACACUUUUUUUUCUUAAGGGGGCUUAUGUAUCUUUAUGGAUGAAUUCUCAUUGAACUGAGACAUGAAUGCAACAAUUUUAAUAAUUAAGUAAGAAUUAUCUUAAGUUGUUUAACAACAACUAACAGAUACAAAAAAAUGUUACCCAAACCGCAGUUCCAUUUUUUUCUUUGACAUAUUAUUUGACGACACAUAGAACCAUACUUCAUUUUUUUCAUCAAAAGGAAAAUUAAUAGAGAAGGCUAGUAAGGUGC